RNAcentral lists this ribosomal RNA (1030 nucleotides) under Capnocytophaga canis. Its description in RNAcentral is "bacterial SSU rRNA". It matches the Rfam family "Bacterial small subunit ribosomal RNA", at positions 15 to 1038 of the family's 1533-position model. Lineage: Bacteria; Pseudomonadati; Bacteroidota; Flavobacteriia; Flavobacteriales; Flavobacteriaceae. The record is from RNAcentral.
GAUCCUGGCUCAGGAUGAACGCUAGCCGCAGGCCCUAACACAUGCAAGUCGAGGGGUAAGGAGAGCUUGCUCUCCCUAGNACCGGGCGUACGGGUGCGUAACACGUGUACAAUCUACCUUUUACUAAGGGAUAGCCCGAAGAAAUUUGGAUUAAUACCUUAUAGUAUUAUUUUAUGGCAUCAUUAAAUAAUUAAAGCUACGGUGGUAAAAGAUGAGUACGCGUCCCAUUAGCUAGUUGGAGUGGUAACGGCACACCAAGGCUACGAUGGGUAGGGUUCUGAGAGGGAUGCCCCCCACACUGGUAACUUGAGACACGGAACCAGACUCCUACCGGGAGGCCAGCAGUGAGGAAUAUUGGACCAAUGGUCGGAAGACUGAUCCAGCCAUGCCGCGUGCAGGAUGACGGCCUUAUGGGUUGUAAACUGCUUUUAUACAGGAAGAAUAAGGUCUACGAGUAGAUUNAUGACGGUACUGUAUGAAUAAGCAUCGGCUAACUCCGUGCCAGCAGCCGCGGUAAUACGGAGGANGCGAGCGUUAUCCGGAAGUCAUUGGGUUUAAAGGGUCCGUAGGCGGGCGUAUAAGUCAGAGGUGAAAGCACUGAGCUCAACUGAGUAACUGCCUUUGAAACUGUAUGUCUUGAAUAGUUGUGAAGUAGCUGGAAUGUGUAGUGUAGCGGUGAAAUGCAUAGAUAUUACACAGAACACCGAUUGCGAAGGCAUGUUACUAACGACCGAUUGACGCUGAUGGGACGAAAAGCGUGGGGAGCGAACAGGAUUAGAUACCCCUGGUAGUCCACGCUGUAAACGAUGGAUACUAGCUGUUUGGUUUUCGGACUGAGUGGCUAAGCGAAAGUGAUAAGUAUCCCACCUGGGGAGUACGCACGCAAGUGUGAAACUCAAAGGAAUUGACGGGGGCCCGCACAAGCGGUGGAGCAUGUGGUUUAAUUCGAUGAUACGCGAGGAACCUUACCAAGGUUUAAAUGGGGAACGACGUACCUAGAGAUAGGUAUUUCUUCGGACGUUUUUCAAGG